Molecule: transfer RNA, 73 nt
Filed under: Mus musculus (house mouse)
Lineage: Eukaryota; Metazoa; Chordata; Mammalia; Rodentia; Muridae
Rfam family: tRNA
About the family: Transfer RNA (tRNA) molecules are approximately 80 nucleotides in length.
Source: Rfam by way of RNAcentral
GAGGGUGUGGCUCAAUCGGUAGAGUGCUUGUCCAGCAUACAGGAAGCGCUGGGUUCGAUCCCCGGCACUGUAU